Molecule: ribosomal RNA, 448 nt
Filed under: uncultured bacterium
Lineage: Bacteria
Description: bacterial SSU rRNA
Rfam family: Bacterial small subunit ribosomal RNA
Source: RNAcentral
GCCAGACUCCUACGGGAGGCAGCAGUGGGGGAUAUUGCACAAUGGGGGAAACCCUGAUGCAGCGACGCCGCGUGGGCGAAGAAGUAUUUCGGUAUGUAAAGCCCUCUCAGCAGGGAAGAAGAAAUGACGGUACCUGAGUAAGAAGCACCGGCUAAAUACGUGCCAGCAGCCGCGGUAAUACGUAUGGUGCAAGCGUUAUCCGGAUUUACUGGGUGUAAAGGGAGCGCAGGCGGCACGGCAAGCCUGAUGUGAAAUCCGGGGGCUCAACCCCCGAACUGCAUUUGAAACUGUUGGUCUUGAGUAUCGGAGAGGCAGGCGGAAUUCCUAGUGUAGCGGUGAAAUGCGUAGAUAUUGGGAGGAACACCAGUGGCGAAGGCGGCCUGCUGGACGACAACUGACGGUGAGGCGCGAAAGCGUGGGGAGCAAACAGGAUUAGAUACCCUUGUAA